Molecule: long non-coding RNA, 385 nt
Organism: Rosa rugosa (rugosa rose)
Lineage: Eukaryota; Viridiplantae; Streptophyta; Magnoliopsida; Rosales; Rosaceae
Exons: 2
Source: RefSeq, a predicted model, not a curated record
UGAACUCUACACCAGUUCUCUCUCUUACUCGUCCUGUUCAUCUCCCCACCAUCUGAACCGCUCCACCACCAAACUUCUCCGAUUGCCGGCGACCGCCAACGAUUACUGGUGAUCACCAUCUAUCGCCAGCGACCACCAUCGAUAAUUGAUGACCACUGAUGCAUUACCCCUCCUCAAUCGAUCGUCCAAUUUCAAUCCGUCAGGUCUCCAAUCUGACAAUCUGUGCUUAGGCACCGAAUCAGAACCUGAAAAAGAAGAAGAAGAAUCACCCAGACACUCAGAUCGUUUUGAGGUUAUUCACAGUCUAAGUUUUGAGGUGCUUCCUGAGGCCAUUGGAAUCGUUCAGCCAAAUUAAGGAUGUGAAUUGACUGAGAUUGAGGACCCG